GGACCUGACUGCUAUCGGAUUGAUACUAAGCCAUGCGAGUCUUUGUAGUAAUACAAGGCAGACGGCUCAGUAACGCGUAGUCAAUCUACCCUAUGGACGAGGAUAACCUCGGGAAACUGAGAAUAAUACUCGAUAGAACAUUAUGCCUGGAAUGGUUUAUGUUCCAAAUGAUUUAUCGCCGUAGGAUGGGACUGCGGCCUAUCAGUUUGUUGGUGAGGUAAUGGCCCACCAAGACUAUUACAGGUACGGGCUCUGAGAGGAGUGGCCCGGAGAUGGGUACUGAGACACGGACCCAGGCCCUAUGGGGCGCAGCAGGCGAGAAAACUUUGCAAUGUGCGAAAGCACGACAAGGUUAAUCCGAGUGG
This 365-nucleotide ribosomal RNA is filed under the name uncultured archaeon. RNAcentral describes it as "bacterial SSU rRNA". It matches the Rfam family "Archaeal small subunit ribosomal RNA", at positions 19 to 388 of the family's 1478-position model. The record is from RNAcentral.